GACGAACGCUGGCGGCGUGCUUAACACAUGCAAGUCGAACGGAAAGGCCCUGCUUUUGUGGGGUGCUCGAGUGGCGAACGGGUGAGUAACACGUGAGUAACCUGCCCUUGACUUUGGGAUAACUUCAGGAAACUGGGGCUAAUACCGGAUAGGAGCUCCUGCUGCAUGGUGGGGGUUGGAAAGUUUCGGCGGUUGGGGAUGGACUGGCGGCUUAUCAGCUUGUUGGUGGGGUAGUGGCUUACCAAGGCUUUGACGGGUAGCCGGCCUGAGAGGGUGACCGGCCACAUUGGGACUGAGAGACGGCCCAGACUCCUACGGGAGGCAGCAGUGGGGAAUAUUGCACAAUGGGCGGAAGCCUGAUGCAGCAACGCCGCGUGCGGGAUGACGGCCUUCGGGUUGUAAACCGCUUUCGCCUGUGACGAAGCGUGAGUGACGGUAAUGGGUAAAGAAGCACCGGCUAACUACGUG
Molecule: ribosomal RNA, 468 nt
Filed under: uncultured bacterium
Lineage: Bacteria
Description: partial 16S ribosomal RNA
Rfam family: Bacterial small subunit ribosomal RNA
Source: RNAcentral